GGUGGCGAUCGCCAUCUUGGAGUCUUCACCGGAGUCCAAUCACUGAGUAUUCUUCAUAUUGUUCAGGGAUAGGAGUGGGUCAUAAGGGCAGAAACCCGACUUGGAGUGUGCGUGGGAGGAGCUGCGGCUGGAGGGGUCCCCAUUCUCUCUUGUUAAAAAUUAAAGGGAGUCCAGCCAGGUGCAGAGGCUCACACCCAUAGCAAACAGUGAUUAGUGAAAUGGAAAGCAACCAGCCGUGAUUUGUAGUCCACCC
RNAcentral lists this long non-coding RNA (253 nucleotides) under Homo sapiens (human). RNAcentral describes it as "HSALNT0409394". The record is from RNAcentral. Lineage: Eukaryota; Metazoa; Chordata; Mammalia; Primates; Hominidae.